GUGAAGCCAUCCCAGACAGACAGGCACAACAGGAGGCAGCCAUGUUCGUCGAUACAGUGGUUCUCGCCGGCAUCGGCACCGUACUUCUGAUGGUCGCUUUCUUCGGGGGUGUUGGUUACUUCAUCUGGAAGGAUGCGCACAAGCGCAAGCAGAGCUGAUCCUUCCAGUUCAAUGGGCACGCAAGGCAAUUCGGGCGACUUCGGUCGCCCUUUUUUUAU
Molecule: small RNA, 218 nt
Filed under: Pseudomonas sp. 8O
Lineage: Bacteria; Pseudomonadati; Pseudomonadota; Gammaproteobacteria; Pseudomonadales; Pseudomonadaceae
Description: PhrS
Rfam family: PhrS
Source: RNAcentral